Molecule: unclassified non-coding RNA, 433 nt
Filed under: soil metagenome
Description: partial contains 5.8S ribosomal RNA, internal transcribed spacer 2, and large subunit ribosomal RNA
Rfam family: 5.8S ribosomal RNA (bases 1-120)
Source: RNAcentral
GAUGAAGAACGUAGCGAAAUGCGAUACGUAAUGUGAAUUGCAGAAUUCAGUGAAUCAUCGAAUCUUUGAACGCAUAUUGCGCUCUCUGGUAUUCCGGAGAGCAUGCUUGUUUGAGUAUCAGUAAACACCUCAACUUCCAUAUCUUUUUUGAAAUGGGAGUUGGACUUGAGUGAUCCCAACGCUUUUCCUCACCGAAAAGUGGCGGGUUACUUGAAAUGCAGGUGCAGCUGGACUUUUCUCUGAGCUAUAAGCAUAUCUAUUUAGUCUGCCUAAAAAACAGAUUAUUACCUUUGCUGCAGCUAACAUAAAGGAGAUUAGUUCUUGUGCUGACUGAUGCAGGAUUCACAAAGACGGCUUCGGCCGACUUUGUAAACUCGAUCUCAAAUCAAGUAAGACUACCCGCUGAACUUAAGCAUAUCAAUAAGCGGAGGAU